RNA transcript from Cucumis melo (muskmelon), 1826 nucleotides. It is a transcript of the gene named 5'-adenylylsulfate reductase-like 4, with no coding region annotated. The transcript is spliced from 5 exons. The record is from RefSeq and is a predicted model, not a curated record. NCBI's taxonomy places the organism in Eukaryota, Viridiplantae, Streptophyta, Magnoliopsida, Cucurbitales, Cucurbitaceae.
UAAAUGUAAGAAAAAUAAUAUGGAGAGGAAAGGGAGGGGAGGAGAGGAGAGGAGGGAGAAGAGAAGAGAAGAGAGAGCGCGUUGAGACAGAUCAGAGACGGUCCUUUCCAAAGCAAAGCUGUGCGCACUGCGCACCGCCUUCCUUCCUUAUCUCUUCAUCCAUUCAUCCAUCCGCCAUUAACCCACCUUUCAAUUCCCUUCCUUUUUCAUUUUCCUUCAACAAAUUCGCUCCCCCAGAUGCUUAUUCCCCCAUCAGAUCCUCCUCGAUCUCAUUAAAAUGCGUUUCUCUCUUUGUUUCUGUCAGUUUCCCUCUCCCUUCCCCUUCUGAUUCCACUUUUCUUCUUCCAUUUCUCUUUUUCUAUGAUUAUGAGGAACCCCGGCUUCUGGGUCAUUGGAAUUCUUCUCUUUUCCCUCCUCUUGGGUCUCGCUCACUCGGUUAGGGCUCCCGAUUCACCUCCUUUUUGUCCUGCUGAAUCUUUUCUCGACACGAUCUUUCGUUUUAGGGAUUCCUACUCCAACUGCCCUUUUCACGGCGAUGUUCGCCACUAUGAAUUUAUUGGUGUUUCUGAGGGAGAUGAGGCUUCAUUACAAAUGGCACUGAAUAUGGUACAUAGUAACCGUUACGAAUACGUUUCAGUGCUCUUCUAUGCAUCUUGGUGCCCGUUCUCCAAGUCUUUCAGGCCGAGUUUUUCUAUACUGUCUUCAUUGUAUGCUUCUAUCCCUCAUUUUGCAAUCCAGGAAUCAGCUGUCCGGCCAAGCAUACUCUCAAAGUAUGGGGUUCAUGGUUUUCCUACACUUUUCCUUUUAAAUUCUACAAUGCGUGCUCGCUACUAUGGUUCUCGAACUCUCUCUUCACUUGUUGCAUUCUAUAACGAUGUUACUGGCAUUCAGACUGCAUCACUGGAUCAAAUAUCACCCGAUAGAAUCGGACAAGUAUGGAAUCGGGAGAAGCAUGAUGAUAACAGCGAGCAAGAAAAUUGUCCAUUUUCAUGGGCCAGGUCUCCAGAAAAUUUACUUCGGGAAGAGACGUAUUUGGCUCUGGCUACUGCCUUUGUGCUAAUGAGAUUGGUAUAUAUUUUCUUCCCAACUCUUUUAGUAUAUGCUCGAUAUGUUUGGCGAAGGCACCUUAGGAACAUGAGAUUGGGAACCUUGUGGGAACGACCUUUGACGUGCAUGAAAGGAGCAAUUCAGCUAUUCAGCCAUUUCAAGGAUCCUUGUAAGAGAAGCAAUUUACAAGGAGGGGCGAUGAAUGCGAAGGCAUGGGCCAAGUCUUUUGCCACAGUUUCGAUCGGUGAUGCAAGCUCUAGUAGUCGGGUGUGCCAGUGAGAAUGUUGUUGAUGUGCAUCAAAUUGUUUAUGGUACGGUACUGCGGUGAGCUGCAGAAAAUGCCAUUCUGGAUUGUUGAGUAGUUUUUGGGUUCAACAUCGUGUGAACAAAGGUAUGGAUACUUUCCGCUAGUUGUAUCAGGCCAUAACCAAUCGUGUGCAAUUUCGCAGCAACUUAUAGCACAAGUUAACAGCUUUUGUGAUUGCAAUAAAACGGAAGAAAUUGUGGUAGUCAAGUCAAGAGAAUGGAGAAAUCGGCCCAACCAUGUACAAUCACAUCCAAAUAUGUAGAACCAAACCGUUCAGCUGAAACCUACCGUGAUGGGCUCUUUCCCCCUACUACCGUAACUCACCUACUAUAUUAAAGGCCAGUAACUAACAGUAUUUAAUGCAAUGAAUACAACGUAUUCAAUUGGAAUCAUUCGUGUAUUGGGUACAUAUGUUAACUAGAUAAAUUCUGGGAACGUCCAGUAAUCGCAGGGCUUGCGAAGUUUGAGGUCA